Molecule: ribosomal RNA, 543 nt
Filed under: uncultured bacterium
Lineage: Bacteria
Description: bacterial SSU rRNA
Rfam family: Bacterial small subunit ribosomal RNA
Source: RNAcentral
GGAAUCUUGCGCAAUGGGCGAAAGCCUGACGCAGCAACGCCGCGUGCGGGAAGAAGGCUUUCGGGCUGUAAACCGCUUUCAGCAGGAACGAAAAUGACGGUACCUGCAGAAGAAGGAGCGGCCAACUAUGUGCCAGCAGCCGCGGUGAUACAUAGGCUUCAAGCGUUGUCCGGAUUUAUUGGGCGUAAAGAGUUCGUAGGCGGUCGAGUAAGUCGGGUGUGAAAAUUCUGGGCUCAACCCAGAGACGCCACCCGAUACUGCUUAACUUGAGUUCGAUAGGGGAGUGGGGAAUUCCUAGUGUAGCGGUGAAAUGCGCAGAUAUUAGGAGGAACACCGGUGGCGAAGGCGCCACUCUGGAUCGACACUGACGCUGAGGAACGAAAGCAUGGGUAGCAAACAGGAUUAGAUACCCUGGUAGUCCAUGCGGUAAACGGUGGGCACUAGGUGUGGGUUUCUAUUAACGAAAUCCGCGCCGUCGCUAACGCAUUAAGUGCCCCGCCUGGGGAGUACGGUCGCAAGACUAAAACUCAAAUGAAUUGACGG